This 231-nucleotide ribosomal RNA is filed under the name Salmonella enterica subsp. enterica serovar Enteritidis. RNAcentral describes it as "partial 16S ribosomal RNA". The record is from RNAcentral. Lineage: Bacteria; Pseudomonadati; Pseudomonadota; Gammaproteobacteria; Enterobacterales; Enterobacteriaceae.
AAAUUGAAGAGUUUGAUCAUGGCUCAGAUUGAACGCUGGCGGCAGGCCUAACACAUGCAAGUCGAACGGUAACAGGAAGCAGCUUGCUGCUUYGCUGACGAGUGGCGGACGGGUGAGUAAUGUCUGGGAAACUGCCUGAUGGAGGGGGAUAACUACUGGAAACGGUGGCUAAUACCGCAUAACGUCGCAAGACCAAAGAGGGGGACCUUCGGGCCUCUUGCCAUCAGAUGU